UGGUGGAAUAUAUAUAAAAUACAUUUGACUUGUUAAUUUAACGUAAAUUUCGUAAUAAAAAUGGAGUUCGGACUUCGGGAAUUACUACCACCUGAUCGCUAAAAGGUCAAAGAUUCGAAAACAAAAUGAUUAAAACUUUGGAUAAAACAUUUUAUAAGUAUCGUUUGGUGGAAUAUAUAUAAUAUACAUUUGACUUGUAAAAGAGUAAACAUGUCUAUCAUUUUUACAAUUCUCUAUUUUAUGUAUACGCUUCUGGAUCGAAUAUCUUAAAAUUGCCGAGGUUCCAUGCUAUACAUUUUUUUGCCACAUGUGGUUGUGUUGCAUGCUAUUAACGAAAUUCAUAUACAUUGUCACCUAUGUAAUGUUGAAGCUAGAUGUUUU
Molecule: long non-coding RNA, 381 nt
Filed under: Mytilus galloprovincialis (Mediterranean mussel)
Lineage: Eukaryota; Metazoa; Mollusca; Bivalvia; Mytilida; Mytilidae
Source: RNAcentral